RNAcentral lists this long non-coding RNA (1240 nucleotides) under Panax ginseng (ginseng). Its description in RNAcentral is "long non-coding RNA (PGIN_LNC011441)". The record is from RNAcentral. Lineage: Eukaryota; Viridiplantae; Streptophyta; Magnoliopsida; Apiales; Araliaceae.
GAGAUUCUAAAGCUUCGCACGGCGUCGUUUGACAAGGCAACUUUCGGACAAAUCGUCUGCAGCGAAGUAAUCGUCCCAAACAAGAUCGCUCACUGACAAGCGAAGGCGAUAGAUUUGGCGCAGCGAUUUAUACAUGACCCAUCCAAUUUCAAAUCGAUUGAUGUCUGAGUCUCACCGUUGCAUAGCAGGGACGGCGAGUCGGCGAGUGAAGAUCGAGAUGUGGCAGGAGAGUAUGGUGGGAGAUUUGGCGCCAAUUGUUCCUUCUCCCCCUUAUUUAUAGCAUUAUAUGGUAUUUCUUUCCUCUCCACUCAAGUUCUUCUCCUUCUUACUAAUAGCAGACUCCUUCAAUAUGUCUCAACAACCUAGUUUUAAUCAAAGUAAUUCCACCUCUAAUUGCACCUUGCACUCAACUCAACGUUCGCACCCUGCACGUUGCACCCAAUCCAGUGUUUCCGAUCAUCCCAAAUAUUGUUAUUAUGGAAAAUUGGCUCAAUUGAAGAUGGCUUAGACUGUACGGAAUUUGGGGCGCCAAUUUUAUGGAUGUGCUUAUUGGAACCCGCUAUCUGUAUGAAUUUUUAUUUGUUCCUUUAUGAAUACUUGAUACAUACAUAUUACUUAUAAUCUAUUUAUUAGUAAAUACUAAUAAAAAUUUCAAAUCUGAUUUUGCUGAUUUUGUAAAUGGGACUUACUUGUGAUUUUUUUGAGUGCAUUGAUCCUUCUCUAUGUAAGAAGGGGAAGGAAAUUAUUCCUAGAAUUUGGAAUAAACUCAAUGAAACAGAGAAUGAAAAAUAAGACCUUUUCAUGUGAUUUGAAAGCUUGUCGUGCCCAUGAAAAAUAUCUGGUAGAGCAGUUCGCCGAAGCGGUUCAAUAUGAAGGUGAUUUACAAAGUCAGGUAAUUGACAUUUCGAAAUUAUUGUCCAACUAUAAGAAAGAGAGACGUGUGCUCUAUGGGUUGGUUGGAGCUUUGUUUUUGCUUGUGGUUGUCGUUAUUGUCUCUACAUGAAAAGAAGAUGGCUGUUGGUGGCUGGUUUUUGGGUUAUCAUUUCUGCAUGAAGAUGGUUGUUGGUGGCUGAUUUUUGGGUUAUUUAGUAGUCAAUUUUUGAGUUAACCUUGGGCUUAUAAAUGUAUACUUUUGUUGAUAAAAUUUGAAGGUUAUUGAUGUAAAAAUUAGGAAGAAACUACCAACUUAUCGGUAUUUAUGUAAGCUAAUGACUGUCAAAAUGUAAGGAAAAGUUUCGAG